RNAcentral lists this ribosomal RNA (1431 nucleotides) under Salmonella enterica subsp. enterica serovar Schwarzengrund. RNAcentral describes it as "bacterial SSU rRNA". It matches the Rfam family "Bacterial small subunit ribosomal RNA". Lineage: Bacteria; Pseudomonadati; Pseudomonadota; Gammaproteobacteria; Enterobacterales; Enterobacteriaceae. The record is from RNAcentral.
CUGGGAAACUGCCUGAUGGAGGGGGAUAACGACUGGAAACGGUGGCUAAUACCGCAUAAGGUCGCAAGACCAAAGAGGGGGACCUUCGGGCCUCUUGCCAUCAGAUGUGCCCAGAUGGGAUUAGCUUGUUGGUGAGGUAACGGCUCACCAAGGCGACGAUCCCUAGCUGGUCUGAGAGGAUGACCAGCCACACUGGAACUGAGACACGGUCCAGACUCCUACGGGAGGCAGCAGUGGGGAAUAUUGCACAAUGGGCGCAAGCCUGAUGCAGCCAUGCCGCGUGUAUGAAGAAGGCCUUCGGGUUGUAAAGUACUUUCAGCGGGGAGGAAGGUGUUGUGGUUAAUAACCGCAGCAAUUGACGUUACCCGCAGAAGAAGCACCGGCUAACUCCGUGCCAGCAGCCGCGGUAAUACGGAGGGUGCAAGCGUUAAUCGGAAUUACUGGGCGUAAAGCGCACGCAGGCGGUCUGUCAAGUCGGAUGUGAAAUCCCCGGGCUCAACCUGGGAACUGCAUUCGAAACUGGCAGGCUUGAGUCUUGUAGAGGGGGGUAGAAUUCCAGGUGUAGCGGUGAAAUGCGUAGAGAUCUGGAGGAAUACCGGUGGCGAAGGCGGCCCCCUGGACAAAGACUGACGCUCAGGUGCGAAAGCGUGGGGAGCAAACAGGAUUAGAUACCCUGGUAGUCCACGCCGUAAACGAUGUCUACUUGGAGGUUGUGCCCUUGAGGCGUGGCUUCCGGAGCUAACGCGUUAAGUAGACCGCCUGGGGAGUACGGCCGCAAGGUUAAAACUCAAAUGAAUUGACGGGGGCCCGCACAAGCGGUGGAGCAUGUGGUUUAAUUCGAUGCAACGCGAAGAACCUUACCUGGUCUUGACAUCCACAGAACUUUCCAGAGAUGGAUUGGUGCCUUCGGGAACUGUGAGACAGGUGCUGCAUGGCUGUCGUCAGCUCGUGUUGUGAAAUGUUGGGUUAAGUCCCGCAACGAGCGCAACCCUUAUCCUUUGUUGCCAGCGGUCCGGCCGGGAACUCAAAGGAGACUGCCAGUGAUAAACUGGAGGAAGGUGGGGAUGACGUCAAGUCAUCAUGGCCCUUACGACCAGGGCUACACACGUGCUACAAUGGCGCAUACAAAGAGAAGCGACCUCGCGAGAGCAAGCGGACCUCAUAAAGUGCGUCGUAGUCCGGAUUGGAGUCUGCAACUCGACUCCAUGAAGUCGGAAUCGCUAGUAAUCGUGGAUCAGAAUGCCACGGUGAAUACGUUCCCGGGCCUUGUACACACCGCCCGUCACACCAUGGGAGUGGGUUGCAAAAGAAGUAGGUAGCUUAACCUUCGGGAGGGCGCUUACCACUUUGUGAUUCAUGACUGGGGUGAAGUCGUAACAAGGUAACCGUAGGGGAACCUGCGGUUGGAUCACCUCCUUACCUUAAAGAAGC